Molecule: ribosomal RNA, 592 nt
Filed under: uncultured bacterium
Lineage: Bacteria
Description: bacterial SSU rRNA
Rfam family: Bacterial small subunit ribosomal RNA
Source: RNAcentral
UUUUUAGUAUUCCGCCUGGGGAGUACGCUCGCAAGAGUGAAACUCAAAGGAAUGGCCGGGGACCCCCCACAAGCGGUGGAGCAUUUGGUUUAAUUUGCCGCAACGCGAAGAACCUUUCUUAAGCUAGAAUGUGAGGGAAGAAAGGGUAACUCCGAUCGUCUGGGAAACCAGACCCAAAACAAGGUGCUGCAUGGCUGUCGUCAGCUCGUGUCGUGAGAUGUUGGGUUAAGUCCCGCAACGAGCGCAACCCUUAUCAACAGUUGCCAUCAUUAAGUUGGGAACUCUGUUGAGACUGCCGUUGAUAAAACGGAGGAAGGUGGGGAUGAUGUCAAGUCAUCAUGGCCUUUAUGCUUAGGGCUACACACGUGCUACAAUGGCCGGUACAAAACGUCGCGAUCCCGUAAGGGGGAGCUAAUCGCAAAAACCGGUCUCAGUUCGGAUUGAAGUCUGCAACUCGACUUCAUGAAGUUGGAAUCGCUAGUAAUCGCGGAUCAGAACGCCGCGGUGAAUACGUUCCCGGGUCUUGUAUACACCGCCCGUCACAUCACGAAAGUAGGUUGUACUAGAAGUAGGAGGGCUAACCCGCAAGGGG